Molecule: long non-coding RNA, 444 nt
Organism: Megalobrama amblycephala (Wuchang bream)
Lineage: Eukaryota; Metazoa; Chordata; Actinopteri; Cypriniformes; Xenocyprididae
Exons: 3
Source: RefSeq, a predicted model, not a curated record
GGAUAGAGAGUGAGAGAGAGAAAAAAAAGGGAGACAGAAACUUUUGCUUAUGAUUUAAUCAAGUACAAAGGCCAUACCGCCAACCAAUGUGGACCAAAAUAUCACAUCCCCACCAGCGGGGCCUUCUACUUACGCUGCAGCUUUUUGGUGGGUGUUUCUGUGUGGCCGUGUCUGCGGGGCAGGUAUGGCGAUGGGUGCGGCAGUGGGAUGGAAGAGACGUCAUGUGUCUGCAGCUUGUACCAGUGAGGCUUGUCAUCUAGCAGGGCAGUCUCCAGCUCGAUCAGGAUCUAGGAUCACAGACAGUCAGAAAGUCACUCUCCUCCUCUUGUAUUCUGGGUUGGUCCCACACUGUAAUCUCCAGCAUGUGCUCCCUGAAAUCCCGACGAUGGACAUGAGAGUACACAAACGUCUGGUUCCACUUGGGUUCUAGACUUUUCUUGACCG